This 301-nucleotide ribosomal RNA is filed under the name uncultured bacterium. Its description in RNAcentral is "partial 16S ribosomal RNA". It matches the Rfam family "Bacterial small subunit ribosomal RNA", at positions 509 to 808 of the family's 1533-position model. The record is from RNAcentral.
CAGUAGCCGCGGGAAUACGUAUGUCACAAGCGUUAUCCGGAUUUAUUGGGCGUAAAGCGCGUCUAGGUGGUUAUGUAAGUCUGAUGUGAAAAUGCAGGGCUCAACUCUGUAUUGCGUUGGAAACUGUGUAACUAGAGUACUGGAGAGGUAAGCGGAACUACAAGUGUAGAGGUGAAAUUCGUAGAUAUUUGUAGGAAUGCCGAUGGGGAAGCCAGCUUACUGGACAGAUACUGACGCUAAAGCGCGAAAGCGUGGGUAGCAAACAGGAUUAGAUACCCGUGUAGUCCCUGUCUCUUAUACA